CGGGGAGUAGCGCAGUUUGGUAGCGCAUCUGGUUUGGGUCCAGAGGGUCGCAGGUUCGAAUCCUGUCUCCCCGACCA
RNAcentral lists this transfer RNA (77 nucleotides) under Candidatus Phycosocius bacilliformis. RNAcentral's name for it is "tRNA-Pro". It matches the Rfam family "tRNA". From Rfam's summary of the family: Transfer RNA (tRNA) molecules are approximately 80 nucleotides in length. Their secondary structure includes four short double-helical elements and three loops (D, anti-codon, and T loops). Lineage: Bacteria; Pseudomonadati; Pseudomonadota; Alphaproteobacteria; Caulobacterales. The record is from RNAcentral.